Xiphophorus couchianus (Monterrey platyfish) is the source of this 183-nucleotide long non-coding RNA. RefSeq lists it as uncharacterized. Lineage: Eukaryota; Metazoa; Chordata; Actinopteri; Cyprinodontiformes; Poeciliidae. The transcript has 2 exons. The record is from RefSeq and is a predicted model, not a curated record.
GUGGGCGUCGCUUCCGGUUUGGUUUUGGGUCGGACUUCCUGUUUGCCUCAGACAUGAAUGCGCAGUCUGGACGGCAGCUCUUCGGUCGUCAUUGCUCUGUUUUAUCAUUCUCCAGAUUGUACGUCACUGUUGCAGCAUCCUGACCCGGGGGCCUGCAACACCAACCACUUUUUUCAUACAUGG